UCUAAAGUGGUGAUUUCCUUAUAACGGCCCCAGUCUGAACUGUCAUGACUGAUUGGUACUUCUCUGAUUUAAA
Gymnodraco acuticeps is the source of this 73-nucleotide small nucleolar RNA. The record is from RefSeq and is a predicted model, not a curated record. Lineage: Eukaryota; Metazoa; Chordata; Actinopteri; Perciformes; Bathydraconidae.